GGCUAAGGUCGCAAAUUGCACAUAUGCUGAACCGUGGUGCGUGAAAUAUAUCAAUAUUUCACGCACCCCGGUUCAGCAUAUGUGCAAUUGAAAAUG
Non-coding RNA from Paramuricea clavata, 96 nucleotides. Lineage: Eukaryota; Metazoa; Cnidaria; Anthozoa; Malacalcyonacea; Plexauridae. The record is from the annotation of a GenBank genome assembly.